AGGCCAUGAUGAGAACAUUGCCUAAGCAGGUUCUUGUGUCUCUCCUAGGCUUCAUACAACGAUUCACCAUCAAAUUGUGUAAACAAAGUAAUAUUAUUUCUCAUCUU
This 107-nucleotide small nucleolar RNA is filed under the name Theobroma cacao (cacao). RNAcentral's name for it is "Plant small nucleolar RNA R71". It matches the Rfam family "Plant small nucleolar RNA R71". From Rfam's summary of the family: R71 is a member of the C/D box family of snoRNAs containing the C (UGAUGA) and D (CUGA) box motifs. Multiple nearly identical copies of this snoRNA have been identified in Arabidopsis, and it is thought to function as a 2'-O-ribose methylation guide for 18S ribosomal RNA. The record is from Rfam by way of RNAcentral. Lineage: Eukaryota; Viridiplantae; Streptophyta; Magnoliopsida; Malvales; Malvaceae.